Molecule: long non-coding RNA, 668 nt
Filed under: Ananas comosus (pineapple)
Lineage: Eukaryota; Viridiplantae; Streptophyta; Magnoliopsida; Poales; Bromeliaceae
Description: long non-coding RNA (ACOM_LNC019154)
Source: RNAcentral
AUAUAUAAAUGAUAUUGAAAAAUAAUAAAUAUUAUUUUUUAGAUACUUCUAAUGGUGUAGAUUAUUUUCAAUAGAACCUACUGUCGAUUCAAAUGUCCCAUCAUCAAAAAUAAUUUAUAGCACAAAGGCCUUCGUCUAGUAUACUACCCGGAUUCCAAUAUUAUAUAAGUUUUUUUUUUUUUUUAAGAGAUAGGUAGCACGUUACCCGCUUCUUUUAUUUCAUUUUAGAAAUAAACUUAGCUAAAAAUAUGAAUCAACUAGGAUUCGAACUUGGGACCUUGGGUACCAAUCAGCAAGUUUUUCAUUUUAGAAAUAAACUUAGCUAGAAAUGUGAAUCAAUUAGGAUUCGAACUUGGGAUCUUGGGUACCAACCGGCAAGUAUUUCAUUUUAGAAAUAAACUUAGCUAGAAAUGUGAAUCAAUUAUGAUUCGAACUUAAGAUCUUAGGUACCAACCACCAAGCCCUUUGCCACUUGCUCUAGGAACGGCUAGUUCCAACUUAUUAAGUUAUUUUCUAGUUUUGUGAUAUCUAACAUGUCAGCCAAAAAUGAACAAUUAAAAUAAAAACUAAAAUCCUGUCCAUUUACUCGGGUUGUUUGCUGGUGUGUUAGUAAAGUAAAAUACAGAGCAUUUUCCUAAGGUGGCAGAGAAGUUGGAAGAUUAUUUUCU